This is a long non-coding RNA of Canis lupus familiaris (dog), 376 nucleotides long. RefSeq lists it as uncharacterized. The record is from RefSeq and is a predicted model, not a curated record. The transcript has 3 exons. NCBI's taxonomy places the organism in Eukaryota, Metazoa, Chordata, Mammalia, Carnivora, Canidae.
GUCCUGAAUGAAACCAAACCCUUCAUCGGGACCCUCAGGAGCCAGGCCAGCCUCACCCCUGGCUCUGCCAUCUGGGUCCUCCCUUUCCAGAAGCACUGGCUUCUUCUCUGUUCCUGUUUCCAUAUGGAGUCGCCAUGAAUACUUGCUGGCAGAAAAUGGCUUCGGGCACUGAGCCACUGCCCACUUGGUGACUGAUGUCAUCGUUGCCGAUGUCACUGAUCAUCAUUCCACCAAACCCACAGAGCAGCUUGGUGCCACAGGUGUCCUUGCCCUACAGAGCAACGUGAGAAUUAUAUGGGAGGAAUGUCCGGCUCCGGCUGCCAGAGAUGUCUGCUUUCCUCCUCACAUUUCUGGAACUGUGCAUCUCAGCUCUCAG